This is a non-coding RNA of 148 nucleotides. It matches the Rfam family "FMN riboswitch aptamer (RFN element)". Rfam says of the family: The RFN element is a highly conserved domain that is found frequently in the 5'-untranslated regions of prokaryotic mRNAs that encode for flavin mononucleotide (FMN) biosynthesis and transport proteins. This element is a metabolite-dependent riboswitch that directly binds FMN in the absence of proteins. In Bacillus subtilis, the riboswitch most likely controls gene expression by causing premature transcription termination within the 5' untranslated region of the ribDEAHT operon and precluding access to the ribosome-binding site of ypaA mRNA.
ACUUUCCUUCGGGGUCGGGUGAAAGUCCCAACCGGCGGUGAUGACUGGCGUUAACGCUAGCUAAGUCCGUGACCCGGUUGCAGAAGCAAACGGUGGAUCUGGUGAGAAACCAGAACCGACAGUAUAGUCUGGAUGGGAGAAGGAAAAA